CUGAUGGGGUUAUAGCCCUACGGUAGGGUCAUAGGCCUGAACUAUAAGUCCUACCCAAGGGCACCUCAUUAUUAGGUUGAAGGUCACAAGAUACCUAUCGACUGGAUCAAGGCAACCUCUUGUCCACUCGAUAGAAAACCACUCGGAGGAUUAUCUUAUACUCGACGACUGGACUACACUCGGUGAAGACGAGAAGCCAGUCGACAUAGAAGGCCAUAAGCCAGCUCAGGGAUGCUAACGGUGAUACGUUAGACUACUGUAGUUAUUGUCAUUUAUGCAACGUAUGCAUUUAAUCUCACUUAUUGCACCCUUGAAGGCUGGACACUUAUGAGGGGCAGUGCACUCUAUAUAAGCCACCCCUCCCCUCUGGCACAAGGGUUCGCAUUAUGUAACACCUAUAU
This 401-nucleotide long non-coding RNA is filed under the name Hordeum vulgare. RNAcentral's name for it is "long non-coding RNA (HVUL_LNC013143)". Lineage: Eukaryota; Viridiplantae; Streptophyta; Magnoliopsida; Poales; Poaceae. The record is from RNAcentral.